Cyprinus carpio carpio is the source of this 1015-nucleotide long non-coding RNA. The record is from Ensembl. NCBI's taxonomy places the organism in Eukaryota, Metazoa, Chordata, Actinopteri, Cypriniformes, Cyprinidae.
CUCUAGAUGGCUCUGUCCAAUAGCUCUAACUCAGUAUGACAUAACAUCAUCAUCAAGCACAGCUGAUUGGUUCUCUCCUGUAUUGGUAGUUAAUGAGCUUGCUGCUCAACAUUAAAAUAUUUAACUAAAGUUUGUGGUGUAGCAUCAUUCAUGUUAUAUGUGCAGCAGUAUAUCUUACAUGCUCACAGCAACAUGUUGUGGAUGUACUGGCAGUAGCAAGUCUCGGUACUUGCAGCAGCAGCAGCGUAGCAGAUCUAUUCUGCCAAGACCAAAUACAAUAAAGUGCCCCUAUUAUGGGUUAUGAAAGGUUCAUAUUUUGGUUUUGGGAGGCCCCAACAACAGGUUGACAUGCAUGCAAGGUCAAAAAACAGUUUCAUUUUCUUAUAAUAUGCUUUUUUUUUUUUACCUUACUUGCUCAACGACUCCCAAACGAUUCGCUCAAUGAUUAAUAUUUCCAAACCCCUCCUUUGUGUGAUGCUAAUCUACAGUGAUUGGUCAGAUUGGUCAGUUUCCAUUUCAUCAUGCCUGUAAUGGCUAAUAAAGCAGCAUUUGUGAACACAUUUUUGCUUUGUGUACAGCUGUUACCGGGGAAACAUCUAUUUUCAUAGCUCAAAAAUAAAACCCACCACCUUCCCCAGCUCCACCUGUAUAGAUCUGCUGCGGCACCUAGUGGCAAAGAAUGAAUUUGCGUUUUCAUUCAGACCAAGUCUACGUUCCAGUUCACUUUUAGGGGGAAUCCCCGCCCCCAUUUUGAAGUGUGUUCCACUUUGUCAAGUGGACGAGGGAAGUUUACAUAGACAUACCCUUGACCCCUUGAUUUUGACAGAGGGAGGGAGUCUGCUUCAAAUGCACACUUCAAGCCACUCUAUAGACCACAAUGCAACACGAUUAUGAUGUCAUCGCAGAUCGCGUUUACUUUAUCCCCACCCCAAACAACUCUAUAAUAUAUAAAUUAUUUUUUUUUUUUUUGGCAUUUAUAACAGCCCAAGCGUAUCUAUAUACAUAUAGAAUGCUG